GCCUAUGGUUUCAUGACUUCUGAGCACCAGUAUAUAUCACGGAAGGAUGAAGGAGAUCGGAUCAUUGUCUUUGAGAGGGGAAACCUUGUUUUUGUAUUCAACUUUCAUUGGAAUAACAGCUAUUCAGAUUACAGAGUUGGCUGCUUCAAGCCAGGAAAGUAUAAGAUUGUUUUGGAUUCAGAUGAUGCCUCGUUUGGAGGCUUCAGCAGGCUUAGUCAUAGUGCGGAGUACUUCAGCUUUGAAGGGAGGUAUGAUAACCGGCCUAGAUCUUUCAUGGUGUAUGCACCAUCUAGAACAGCAGUGGUCUAUGCU
Molecule: unclassified non-coding RNA, 312 nt
Filed under: Hevea brasiliensis (rubber tree)
Lineage: Eukaryota; Viridiplantae; Streptophyta; Magnoliopsida; Malpighiales; Euphorbiaceae
Source: RNAcentral